Molecule: ribosomal RNA, 326 nt
Filed under: uncultured eukaryote
Lineage: Eukaryota
Description: partial 18S ribosomal RNA
Rfam family: Eukaryotic small subunit ribosomal RNA
Source: RNAcentral
CCCUUAGAUGUUCUGGGCUGCACGCGCGCUACACUGAUGCGUUCAACGAGUUUAUGACCUUGCCCGAUAGGGUUGGGUAAUCUUUUUAAAUCGCAUCGUGAUGGGGAUAGAUUAUUGCAAUUAUUAAUCUUCAACGAGGAAUUCCUAGUAAGCGCGAGUCAUCAGCUCGUGCUGAUUACGUCCCUGCCCUUUGUACACACCGCCCGUCGCUCCUACCGUUUGAGUGAUCCGGUGAAUAAUUCGGACUGCAGCAGUGUUCAGUUCCUGAACGUUGCAGCGGAAAGUUUAGUGAACCUUAUCACUUAGAGGAAGGAGAANUCGUANCA